AGUGGGAUAGCUGGGUCAGAUGCUGGUUGUAUUCUAGGUUUUCUGAGGAAUCUCCAGACUACUUUCCAGAGUGGUUGCACCAAUUUUCAGUCCCACCAGCAGU
This 103-nucleotide microRNA precursor is filed under the name Marmota monax (woodchuck). The record is from RNAcentral. Lineage: Eukaryota; Metazoa; Chordata; Mammalia; Rodentia; Sciuridae.